RNAcentral lists this non-coding RNA (25 nucleotides) under Rattus norvegicus (Norway rat). Lineage: Eukaryota; Metazoa; Chordata; Mammalia; Rodentia; Muridae. The record is from RNAcentral.
UAUUGUCUAAUUUCCACUGGUGCUG